AGUGAACGCUGGCGGUAGGCCUAACACAUGCAAGUCGAACGGCAGCACAGUAAGAGCUUGCUCUUACGGGUGGCGAGUGGCGGACGGGUGAGGAAUACAUCGGAAUCUACUUUUUCGUGGGGGAUAACGUAGGGAAACUUACGCUAAUACCGCAUACGACCUACGGGUGAAAGCAGGGGAACUUCUGACCUUGCGCGAUUGAAUGAGCCGAUGUCGGAUUAGCUAGUUGGCGGGGUAAAGGCCCACCAAGGCGACGAUCCGUAGCUGGUCUGAGAGGAUGAUCAGCCACACUGGAACUGAGACACGGUCCAGACUCCUACGGGAGGCAGCAGUGGGGAAUAUUGGACAAUGGGCGCAAGCCUGAUCCAGCCAUACCGCGUGGGUGAAGAAGGCCUUCGGGUUGUAAAGCCCUUUUGUUGGGAAAGAAAAGCAGCAGGUUAAUACCCCGCUGUUCUGACGGUACCCAAAGAAUAAGCACCGGCUAACUUCGUG
Molecule: ribosomal RNA, 492 nt
Filed under: uncultured bacterium
Lineage: Bacteria
Description: partial 16S ribosomal RNA
Rfam family: Bacterial small subunit ribosomal RNA
Source: RNAcentral